RNAcentral lists this unclassified non-coding RNA (203 nucleotides) under Hevea brasiliensis (rubber tree). Lineage: Eukaryota; Viridiplantae; Streptophyta; Magnoliopsida; Malpighiales; Euphorbiaceae. The record is from RNAcentral.
ACCCAUGGUAGCAGCUUUGUGCUUGAAGCAGAUGGAAAAUGGGUGAAGACGACAAACACAGAGGUGCAGACCAUGGUCACAACAAUGAGAGCAUGCAGAACUGCAGCUUGCAGGAAGUACUUGGCUGAUAUAUAUAUUCCAAGAGCAACCCCAAUAGCGAUUGAGUAAAAUGCCCUUAGCUCUACCAUGUACUUUAUGGGUAU